RNAcentral lists this ribosomal RNA (361 nucleotides) under uncultured bacterium. RNAcentral's name for it is "bacterial SSU rRNA". It matches the Rfam family "Bacterial small subunit ribosomal RNA", at positions 8 to 371 of the family's 1533-position model. The record is from RNAcentral.
AGAGUUUGAUCCUGGCUCAGAUUGAACGCUGGCGGCAUGCUUUACACAUGCAAGUCGAACGGCAGCGGGGGCUUCGGCCUGCCGGCGAGUGGCGAACGGGUGAGUAAUGCAUCGGAACGUGCCCAGUCAUGGGGGAUAACUACGCGAAAGCGUAGCUGAUACCGCAUACGCCCUGAGGGGGAAAGCGGGGGAUCGCAAGACCUCGCGUGAUUGGAGCGGCCGAUGUCGGAUUAGCUAGUUGGUGGGGUAAAGGCCUACCAAGGCGACGAUCCGUAGCGGGUCUGAGAGGAUGAUCCGCCACACUGGUUCUGAGACACGGCCCAGACUCCUACGGGAGGCAGCAGUGGGGAAUUUUGGACAA